CCUAACGGGAGGCAGCAGUGGGGAAUAUUGGACAAUGGGGGAAACCCUGAUCCAGCGACGCCGCGUGGGUGAAGAAGUAUUUCGGUACGUAAAGCUCUAUCAGCAGGAAAGAAAAUGACGGUACCUGACUAGAAGCCCCGGCUAACUACGUGCCAGCAGCCGCGGUAAUACGUAGGGGGCAAGCGUUAUCCGGAUUUACUGGGUGUAAAGGGGGCGUAGACGGCAUCGGAAGUCUGGAGUGAAAUGCCGUGGCCCAACCCCGGAACUGCUCUGGAAACUGUGAAGCUGGAGUGUAGGAGAGGUAAGCGGAAUUCCUGGUGUAGCGGUGAAAUGCGUAGAUAUCAGGAGGAACACCGGCGGCGAAGGCGGCUUACUGGACUGUAACUGACGUUGAGGCUCGAAGGCGUGGGGAGCAAACAGGAUUAGAUACCCCGGUAGUC
This 440-nucleotide ribosomal RNA is filed under the name uncultured bacterium. RNAcentral describes it as "partial 16S ribosomal RNA". It matches the Rfam family "Bacterial small subunit ribosomal RNA", at positions 338 to 795 of the family's 1533-position model. The record is from RNAcentral.